CGGGGCGUGCGUAGUACGGUCGCGCACCGGCUCUCCCCCUGUGAGCUGGAUGUCGGAGGUUCAAAUCCUCUCGCCCCGGCCA
Molecule: transfer RNA, 82 nt
Filed under: Nitrospiraceae bacterium
Lineage: Bacteria; Pseudomonadati; Nitrospirota; Nitrospiria; Nitrospirales; Nitrospiraceae
Description: tRNA-Glu
Rfam family: tRNA
About the family: Transfer RNA (tRNA) molecules are approximately 80 nucleotides in length.
Source: RNAcentral